GACGAACGCUGGCGGCGUGCUUAACACAUGCAAGUCGAACGAAGAGCGAUGGAAGCUUGCUUCUAUCAAUCUUAGUGGCGAACGGGUGAGUAACGCGUAAUCAACCUGCCCUUCAGAGGGGGACAACAGUUGGAAACGACUGCUAAUACCGCAUACGAUCUAAUCUCGGCAUCGAGGAUAGAUGAAAGGUGGCCUCUACAUGUAAGCUAUCACUGAAGGAGGGGAUUGCGUCUGAUUAGCUAGUUGGAGGGGUAACGGCCCACCAAGGCGAUGAUCAGUAGCCGGUCUGAGAGGAUGAACGGCCACAUUGGGACUGGGACACGGCCCAGACUCCUACGGGAGGCAGCAGUAGGGAAUCUUCCGCAAUGGACGAAAGUCUGACGGAGCAACGCCGCGUGAGUGAUGACGGCCUUCGGGUUGUAAAGCUCUGUUAAUCGGGACGAAAGGCCUUCUUGCGAAUAGUGAGAAGGAUUGACGGUACCGGAAUAGAAAGCCACGGCUAACUACGUG
This 510-nucleotide ribosomal RNA is filed under the name uncultured bacterium. Its description in RNAcentral is "partial 16S ribosomal RNA". It matches the Rfam family "Bacterial small subunit ribosomal RNA", at positions 28 to 507 of the family's 1533-position model. The record is from RNAcentral.